Molecule: ribosomal RNA, 253 nt
Filed under: uncultured bacterium
Lineage: Bacteria
Description: partial 16S ribosomal RNA
Rfam family: Bacterial small subunit ribosomal RNA
Source: RNAcentral
UACGGAGGGGGCUAGCGUUGUUCGGAAUUACUGGGCGUAAAGCGCACGUAGGCGGCUUUGUAAGUUAGAGGUGAAAGACCGGAGCUCAACUUCGGAAUUGCCUUUAAUACUGCAUCGCUUGAACGUCGGAGAGGUGAGUGGAAUUCCGAGUGUAGAGGUGAAAUUCGUAGAUAUGCGGAAGAACACCAGUGGCGAAGGCGGCUCACGGGACGACUGCUGACGCUGAGGUGCGAAAGCGUGGGGAGCAAACAGG